CAGCAGCCGCGGUAAUACGGAAGGUCCAGGCGUUAUCCGGAUUUAUUGGGUUUAAAGGGAGUGUAGGCGGUUUGUUAAGCGUGUUGUGAAAUUUAGGUGCUCAACAUUUAACUUGCAGCGCGAACUGUCAGACUUGAGUACACGCAACGUAUGCGGAAUUCAUGGUGUAGCGGUGAAAUGCUUAGAUAUCAUGAAGAACUCCGAUUGCGAAGGCAGCAUACGGGAGUGUAACUGACGCUUAAGCUCGAAGGUGCGGGUAUCGAACAGGAUUAGAUACCCUGGUAGUCCGCACAGUAAACGAUGGAUGCCCGCUGUUAGCGCCUGGCGUUAGCGGCUAAGCGAAAGCAUUAAGCAUCCCACCUGGGGAGUACGCCGGCAACGGUGAAACUCAAAGGAAUUGACGGGGGCCCGCACAAGCGGAGGAACAUGUGGUUUAAUUCGAUGAUACGCGAGGAACCUUACCCGGGCUUGAAUUGCAGAGGAAUUAUUUAGAGAUA
RNAcentral lists this ribosomal RNA (497 nucleotides) under uncultured bacterium. RNAcentral describes it as "bacterial SSU rRNA". It matches the Rfam family "Bacterial small subunit ribosomal RNA", at positions 509 to 1008 of the family's 1533-position model. The record is from RNAcentral.